UGGUCAAGCAGUGACAGAAAAUUUUGUAAACCAAUGUAUCGUUAACAGAUUAAUGGAAAUUCAGAACUACAGAAUGUCAGGAUUGUAAACUUUCAAACAUUUUGCGGAGAUUUCCAAUAUUAGCUAUCGCUUCAAGGCCCGAGUUUCGAGCCGGCAAAAUUGAUAGUACGUUGGAAAAAUGCAUAGCGGCAUUUCUUCCGAUUUUACGUUCUGAAAUGAAAUUUUGUUGGGGUAGACUUUGCCUUUCAUCCUUUCAGGGUCGAUAAAAAACGAAUUCGAUGUCAUUGACGAACCCUACCCACUAAAAUUUGCUGGCCUUGUGAACCAAUCACAUUGCUUUGUCAUGUAUUACAUAAUCAGAAUGGUGACGAAGGGUGAGACCUGCCCCGGGUGAAACUUCUAUGGGAGUGUUACUUUUGAGUCUACUGUGUAAGCCAGUAUAAAUCUGAAAGCCCGGGUGAGUGGAGGUUCAAACUUGUAAUGGGAAAUGUAAUGUUAUAUGUUGGAGUCGGCAGCUACCAAUUGUAACGGGUGUUGAUGUUGCAGAUGUGCAAGAUGAAAGAAGAACAGUGAUCGAAGUUGUAAACAAACAUUUACUUACCCUUACAUAUUGUUAUAGCCAAACCACAACGGGUUGGUAUGUAUAAUUCGUAAAGCAUGCCAGAGGAGUAUUAUCAAAUCUUAUGUGAAAGAUAUAUUUGCUGUUAUAUUAGACAGCAAAUAGACCUUUCAUUAGUUUCAACUAUUUUUGUGAAGAGAAAACUCAGUGGUUCACACGCUGGAUGUUAAAUUGCAGUUUUCCCUUAUGAAUCAUUGGAUUACAUAACAUUUUACGCAAAGUUCCUUCUUUGAAAAACGUUCUGAAAGGUGAAGAAAAUCAUUUCAAGUUGUACGUAUGUGAAAGGUGAAGAAAAUCAUUUCAAGUUGUACGUAUGUCUUUUGAAGGUUAUAACUAAAUUCACAAUGAUUAAAUUAUCUAAUGAAGGUGAUACUUUCGAUUCUAGUAAA
Octopus bimaculoides (California two-spot octopus) is the source of this 1008-nucleotide long non-coding RNA. RefSeq lists it as uncharacterized. The record is from RefSeq and is a predicted model, not a curated record. Lineage: Eukaryota; Metazoa; Mollusca; Cephalopoda; Octopoda; Octopodidae.